CAGAGUAGGAUAGUGCGCGUUAAGUGCCCGUCGGACGGGGAGUUGCCGUCGGGACGAAAAGGGUAAGGCUUGUUAUUUAUAAGCCCCAGCCCUUGCGGUGCGUUGUCCGCAUCCCGCUG
This 119-nucleotide non-coding RNA is filed under the name uncultured Ruminococcus sp. RNAcentral describes it as "THF riboswitch". It matches the Rfam family "THF (Tetrahydrofolate) riboswitch aptamer". From Rfam's summary of the family: THF riboswitch presents a pseudoknot that joins P1-P2 and the loop of P3 and two THF binding. The record is from RNAcentral. Lineage: Bacteria; Bacillati; Bacillota; Clostridia; Eubacteriales; Oscillospiraceae.